ACUUUUAAAGGAACUAGAAACCCAUUAGCCUUAG
Molecule: transfer RNA, 34 nt
Filed under: Rhineura floridana
Lineage: Eukaryota; Metazoa; Chordata; Lepidosauria; Squamata; Rhineuridae
Description: partial tRNA-Leu
Source: RNAcentral